CGGUGGCCGUCGCCUAAUCGCCACGGUGGCGAGCCGGGGAACCACGUCCGUGGGGUGCAUCCGCGUCAGCGCGGUAGGGAUCUUCCGUCCCGAACCCGUCAGCUAACCCGGUCGGCGGCUGACGGAAGGACAU
RNAcentral lists this small RNA (133 nucleotides) under Micromonospora rosaria. Its description in RNAcentral is "c-di-AMP sequence". It matches the Rfam family "c-di-AMP riboswitch aptamer (ydaO/yuaA leader)". Rfam says of the family: This family represents a conserved RNA structure found upstream of the ydaO and yuaA genes in Bacillus subtilis and related genes in other bacteria. Lineage: Bacteria; Bacillati; Actinomycetota; Actinomycetes; Micromonosporales; Micromonosporaceae. The record is from Rfam by way of RNAcentral.